RNAcentral lists this long non-coding RNA (8547 nucleotides) under Homo sapiens (human). RNAcentral describes it as "non-protein coding lnc-GOLGA8O-1:1". Lineage: Eukaryota; Metazoa; Chordata; Mammalia; Primates; Hominidae. The record is from RNAcentral.
GUUAAACGGGGCAGUCUGUGUCAAAAGAGCUUCUCUCCAGAGUAGAAAGGUAGGUACGCUCAGAGCGGCUUUCUUUUCUUUUCUCUUCCAGAGAUUUAUUCUUGUAUGAAGGAUAAAGAGGUAUUGAAAUAAGGUUUUUACCAACACAGUGAUUAAUUUUUUGUGUGCUUAUGUACUUAUCCAUGGCUAUAGUUAAAAUGAUUUUUAAUAUUUUUCUUAAAAAUAUUAUUUUUUUCUUUUGGGUUUUAAGCAUUUAGCAAAUCUCAAGGUUUUAAUUUAUUCAUUUAACAACUAUUUGUUGAAUGCCCACUGCAUACACAGGCACUUUUAUUUUUAUUUUUUUGAGACAGAGUCUUGCUCUGUCACCCAGGCUGGAGUGUGGAGGCAAGAUCUUGGCUCACUACAACUUCCGCCUCCUAGGUUGAAGCAAUUCUAGUGCCUUAGCCUGCCAAGUAGCUCGGUUUACAGGUACGCGCCACCACGCCCAGCUAAUUUUUGUAUAUUUUGUAGAGACGGGGUUUCGCCAUGUUGGCUAGGCUGGUCUUGAACUCCCGACCUCAAGUGAUCCGCCCACCUUGGCCUCCCAAAGUCCUGGGAUUACAGGUGUGAGCCACUGCCCCUGGACCACAGGUACUUUAAAAACCACAAUAGGUAGAAACUCUAUUUCUAAUAACCAACUAUAACAAUUCUAAAUAUAUUUUACUGUAAAUUAUUGAGUACACAAAACAAUAACAGGUAACUAUUCAGCUCACCUCAGAUUUAAUACUUAAACAUUAAAGAAUAUCAACCUACUUGCAAGAAACUUAACAAAACCUAAGGAACAUAAUACAAAUAAAACUUUACCUAUGCAGAUUAUAAGCUGGAUAUUAUAAUAUCCAGGAAAAUAUCCAGGAUGUUAGAAUGGCUUGAAACAGAAUUGAAAAUUUUUGAGCUAUAAGACACAUAGGAGAAAUUUUAAGUUCAUUUUUUUUGGGUGAGACAUUUAUUAGUCUCAACAAGACUGAAUGAUUUUCUUUUAAGGUCACACAUUUAAAUAGUUAACAGGAGAAAUACCAACCAGAAUCAUAGUCAAAUACCCACCUACUCCCUUUCCAAGACAACUAAGGUCUCAAAUUGCGCCCAUUUUUCUCAAAUUAUUUCUAGAAUAUUUAGCAAAAGAGGCUUUUAAUUUGGCAUGUCUUUGUCUACAAUUUUGUAGUUUAUGUAAAGAAAGGUAGACUAAGGGAAUUUCAUUUUAAAGGUGAGAAUCAGAAUGACAUUUGUGAAGCUAUGAUGCCUGUGCCAUCUGGCAUACACGAGGGUGUUGUACUAAAUGGGAUCAGAAUGAGCUCCUUUUGGAAGGAAACCUUUAAUAGACUGGGAAACAUUAAGGGAAUCUUCCCUUUUUUAUUUAUUUUAUUUUAUUUUAUUUUUUUUUAGAUGGAGUCUCACUCUGUCGCCCAGGCUGGAGUGCAGUGGCGCAGUCUCGGCUCACUGCAAGCUCCGCCUCCUGGGUUCACGCCAUUCUCCUGCCUCAGCCUCCUGAGUAGCUGGGACUACAGGUGCCCGCCACCACACCCGGCUAAUUUUUUGUAUUUUUAGUAGAGACGGGGUUUCACCGUGUUAGCCAGGAUGGUCUCCAUCUCCUGACCUUGUGAUCCACCCGCCUCAGCCUCCCAAAGUGCUGGGAUUACAGGCGUGAGCCACCGUGCCCAGCCUCUUAUUUUUAAUAGAGCAUUGGAAAAUGAAUUCUGUAUACCUGGCUAAUGAAGGAAAUCCAGAUUCGUUGCCAAAACCAAGUUUUAAAGGAAUUUGCAAUCCUUCACAGUUCAUUCAAGGAGGCAAUGGAAAUUUUGAUGAAGAAAUUUUUUAAAAUCUUUCUUAAAAGGAGUCCUUACAUUGGCAUUGUAUCAUGACUAAAGUCUUCCUCCCUCUCUCCCUUCUAUGCUUUUUGUUUCUGUUUUCUAUCUUUCAAUGACAUCAGUUUCAUGGAUAUAAAUGGUUAAAAGACAAUGAUUACAACACACAGUUGAGUGACACAAAUCUUGUUGUAGUGUUAGAAAUACAUCAAUACAUUGGGAUCAUAAAGAGAAAUGGCAAGAAAAAAAAUCUUAAGUUAAUAACAGAAAAUGCUGAUUCCCACAGUCCGUGUAGAAAAUAACACGUUUUUUUUUCUGUCAGUGGAGAUAACUGAGACUAGUUAAUAUUGUCAAUUCUGUUCCUUCUGACUGAGCCAGGUGAGGCAAAAUUUAGCAUAUGAGUUGAGGGACAAAACUAUUACCUUGGCAACAUAAAAAUUAAUACUGUCUACAUUGUUUACUAGGAAAUGCAUGCAAAAUUAAUACACUCUUGGUAGUACAGGUUCGUUUCACUUCUAUAGUGUGUGGUUAAUAGAAAGCUGAUUCAACAGACGAUAGAUUCAACAGACGAUGUAGAAUUGUCUAAAAUCCAGCCAGGCGCGGUGGUUCACGCCUGUACUCCCAGCACUUUGGGAGGCUGAGGCGGCAGAUCACAAUGUCAGGAGAUCGAGACCAUCCUGGCUAACAUUGUGAAACCUCGUCUCUACUAAAAAUACAAAAAAAUUAGCCGGGAGUGGUGGUGGGCGCCUGUAGUCCCAGCUACUCGGGAGGCUGAGGCAGGAGAAUAGCGUGAACCCAGGAGGCGGAGCUUGCAGUGAGCCGACAUCGCGCCACUGCAUUCCAGCCUGGGCGACAGAGCGAGACUCCAUCUCAAAAAAAAAAAAAGAAUUGUCUAAAAUUCAUCGUCGGUGAGUCCAUGGCAUGUUUUGGAAUUUAUUCACUUGUUUGCCUCAGGAACAGUAGCUGUUCAGAUUUGUUCUGUCUUUGAUUUUGGAAAUGAGGUUACCGUGCUCUGUAGUGUGAGGAAGAUGACAUGGCAUAAUUAGGCAAACGGCUAGGCAUUUUCUCAGCAGUAAAUUACCAGUGCCCUUACUUGCCAUGAUACCCACAACAGGCAGAGGCAGUUUCCUGAGGCAAUCCAGGCCACAAAGAACUGUACAUUUGGGGAAAACAUAUCUUCAAAUAUAUAUGUUAAACUCUAAAAAAUUGGUUAGUAUGUAUUACUUUUGUGGAUACUUAAACAUUCCCUAUGCAUAAAGACCUAGUUAAAGAGAUGCAGGCUUUUGGCAUGUUAAAUAACUCCUUGAUGAGAAAUCACACUAUGAAUAAUAAAUAUGACUUAAUAAAAAUGAAAAAUAAUGAGAUUAGUUACUAUUGAACUAUUCUUGCUUAGAAUGCCCCUGAAUUUCAGUCAUUGAAAUUCACUUGUACCUGGGUAAGUUACAAGUUCUUAUUUGUGCUGGUUUCUGUUCCAUUGGCAAUUAAAAUUUUGGUAAGUUGAAUAAAAGAUCUUUCUAAAAAGGGAGUUUUUUUUUUUUUUUUCUUUUUUGAGGGGGACGGAGUCUCGCUCUGUCGCCCAGGCUGGAGUGCAGUGGCACGAUCUCGGCUCACCGCAAGCUCCACCUCCGGGGUCCAUGCCAUUCUCCUGCCUCAGCCUCCUGAGUAGCUGGGACUACGGGCGCCCGCCACCACGCCCGGCUAAUUUUUUUUGUGUUUUUAGUAGAGACGGGGUUUCACCGUGUUAGCCAGGAUGGUCUCCAUCUCCUGACCUCGUGAUCCGCCCUCCUCAGCCUCCCAACGUGCUGGGAUUACAGGUGUGAGCCAUCGCGCCUGGCCAAAAGGGAGUUCUUAUAUUGGCAGUGUAUCAUGAUUAAAGUUAUCCUCCCUCUUUCUCUCCCUCCCACAUAUAUAUUUUCGUGUCAGUAUAUGUAUAUGUGAUUUGUGCUAUUUGUGUGUGUGUAGGUAAAUGAAAGUGGCAUCAAGAGAAUCUCACAUUAAAAAAAAUUUGAGAUAGUACAAUUCUUAUGCAUCAUAUGUUGCAUAACGUUUGACUAUUAAGAAAUUUGCAUCACACGUCUACUUAUUUCAUUAAACAUGUUACAGUCAAUUAAUUCACUUACACCCUCCAUUUCCUUCUUCCCCCUCUCUCGUUCUCCUGCUGCAGGGUCAUUAUACGUUCCUACUCACAAAAUGUCCUUGUUUUUUCCCUUACUCCUGUCAUUGAUCUUCUGAAUCUUUCCGGCGAACUUAACAUGGAUGUUUUGAUAGAAAGCUCUGGCAUUAACUCUGGAGUUGUUUUGCAAGGAAGGUUGUUCGCUUUUUCACCAUUUUUUUUUUUUCAGGUCCUUGAAGUGUUUUCACAUAGAUAUUUCACAAGAGCCAUUUCAGAAUUGAGAACAUUUGGCGUGCACUCUUCCUCUUUUGGUCCCACAGUUUUUAUGUGUCCUACUUGAAAUUAUGUUUGCUCCCGUUUCAAUUGUAAUAUUGCACUUACUCAUUAGUUUUUAGUUUGAACUCUCCUGCGAGGUCUAAUGUAGAGUUUGGACAAGAACACAGAUUCAUAAUAAACCUACCCAGUCAAUUUGGUAUAAAGGCUUAGAAGGUGGAACUGGCCACAUUUUGAAUUGGAGGUAAGGAUCAGGAAUGCUAAUGGAGAGACAUAGGAUUUUCUUAUGGAAACAAGAAACAAAUAACCUCUGGGCAGUAUUAGAGCCCAGAGAGUGAUAAGCCUCUUCUAACUUCAAUAUUCUAUGUACAAAUUCACAAGACUUUUUUUUUCUUUCUUUUUUUUGAGACGGAGUCUCACUCUGUAGCCCAGGCUGGAGUGCAAUGGCGCGAUCUUGGCUCACCGCAAGCUCCCCCUCCCGGGUUCACGCCAUUCUCCUGCCUCUGCCUCGCGAGUAGCUGGAACUACUGGCGCCCACCACCACAUCCAGCUAAUUUUUUUGUAUUUUUAGUGCAGACUGGGUUUCACCGUGUUAGCCAGGAUGGUCUGGAUCUCCUGACCUUGGGAUCCGCCCGCCUCGGCCUCCGAAAGUGCUGGGAUUACAGGCGUGAGCCACCGUGCCCGGCCGAGACUUUUAAUUAUGCAAUGCCAGACUGCAUUGCAUAAACCAAAGGCCAACAGAGAGGUGACCUUUCAAAUUACUGGCACAAGAAGAGCCGAGAUCAGAAAGCUCCAACUUAAUGCAAACAUCGACAAGAAAUCCGACAGAAAUGACUUCUGUGUCUGGUCAACUUAACAUAACAUGACAUAUUGUCAAGCACAUUUGGCUUUUUAGGUAGAAUUGUCUAUAAAGGUUUAACUGCUUUAGAAAAUAUAAAUGUGAAGAUUUGUGGUAUUUGGGUUUAUAUAUAAGAUAUUUCUACAUUGAAAAGAGACAGUGGAAAAGCUUGGUAUAAGAUUUGUAAAAUAUGUUUGUAAUAAUGCUAAUGGAAGAGGUGAGAUUUGGGUGGGGUGGGGUGUAGAUGGGAACAUGGUUUGGGGAUUGGGGAAAGGGAAGUCAUGCUGUUAAUAAAAUAGUGAGGCAUGUUGUAUAAAGUGUGUUUUAUGUCUCAAUUGAAAUGUUAUAGAGAUAAAUUUAAAAUAGAUCAUGAUGGGUUUUGAAUCUGAUUUCUAAUUUUAAAAUGUUAUGAGCUUUUGUUGCUUUCCUAUUUCAUACACAUUUCUUUAUGGGUUUCACUUAGACUGCAUGAAAUUGCAGAUGCCAAUUACCUUUUAACAAAAUUAAAUUCACAUAUAUGUAUAAUUUACAUGUAUAUAUUCAUGGAAUUUUUUAUUCUACACGAUAUAUUAUUUUAAAAUGGUUUUUCAAUGACAAAAUAAAAAGUAUUUUUCUAUACUUUCAGUUUUCUGGUUUGAAUUUUUUCUGGCAACACUAAUUUUCACCUACCUAUACUCAUUGAUAGUAUAAAAUUGUACAAGUGCAUAUUUUACCAUGUUUACAUUUGAAUGGAUGACUGGAGGUACAUCUAUGAUGACUAAUACUUUCUAAACACAUAUUUACCUCUCAUAUAUCUGUGUAAAUGAUUGUAAGAGGAAGGGGAAAAUAGAGAUGUAUCAUUAGGUAUACUGUCUUAAAGCACAUUCAGCUGCUCUCAUGUUUGGAGAAUUUUGAAUGUGAUGAAUGUUUCUCUUUCACCGCUAACAGGUUGUAUGUGUGAGCCACAUUUUAUUGCAAGUGUUUGAAAGGCCAUUGCAAAUAUGGGAUAUUGCCAGACAGUAAAAAGCAAAUUGAGUCUAUUGAGAAAUUAAUUCACCAGCUGAAGGAAGUACAUUUGCCUUAGAGUCAUCAGAUAUUCUACCCACCAGACUCAUCUCCGAGAUAGCAUCCUAAUGAGCUUCCUAAACCAACUAAACAUGAGCAGGAAGCAUCAGUCGUCAAAACUGACUCUUUUCAGCCAAUCAGCUGACUGCACAAACUGUAUGGCAUUGAGGAAAGGAAGAACAUUCUGAAAGUUUUUUUCUUUUUUCAUUCUGUCCUCAUUCUGUUGGUUUCUCAGUUUUACGGAUGCAGGAUCAUGCACAGAACCCUGUAAAUGAGCAUAGUUCGUUUAAGUAUAUAAAGUGCUUUCGGUGGAUAAAAUGAAUUUUAACAGGCUUAAGUGAUGUGCCUAAAUGCACACAAUUAAUGCAUGGCUGGAAUUCAAAAUCAUGUCUUUUCCUCUGUUCUGAUUGUUUUAUAAAUAUGGGUUGUUUUAAUGUGUGGCUGGAAUUCAAAAUUGUGUCUUUUCCUCUGUUCUGAUUGUUUUAUAAAUACAGGUGUAGUGAUUGAUUUUCUACCCACCAUGACAGGGAAUAGGUUCAAAACUUAAAACCCUGUUUGUUUUAUAAUUAGGUAGACUCAAAUGACAGGUCAAGGCAGGGAGGGGAGCCAGUCAUUUUUACUCCCAUAUGGGUUUGCUCCUUCAAAGACAGGAUUGGGGUAGCAGUGUCAGUUCCUACAGGUUAUAACGAUCUUAAUGAUAAACUUAAAUAACCGUAACUGAAUACUUAUAAUGUGCUAGCACUUUUCAUAAUGUAUCCCAAUAAUACUCACAAAACUUUCCAAAUAUUACCUUUUUGUUGUCUUUGUUUUAUUUUGUUUUGUUUUGAGACAGGGUCUCACUCUGCUGCCCAGGCUUUAGUGCAGUGAUGCAAUCAUGGUUCACUGCAGCGUCAAACUCCUGGGCUUAAGCAAUCCUCCCACCUCAGCCUCCCAAGAAGCUGAGACUACAGGCAUGCACCACCACUCCCAGCUCCAAAUAAAUAUUCUUAUCCCAUUUUACUGAUGCAGAAAAAUGUAUGGCCCAGAGAAGUAAUGUUAAGUUUAUUGGGGGAUUUAAGUUGUAAAAAAUUAUUUUAUCGAACCCUAAUGUAAACUGUGGACUCUGGGUGAUAGUGAUGUGUCAGUGUAGGUUCAUCGAUUAUAGCAAAUGCAUCAUUCUGGUGCAGGAUGUUGACAGUGGGGGAAGCUGUGUGUGUAUGGGAGUAGGGAGUCUAUGGGAACUCUUCUACUUUCCACUCAAUUUUGCUGUGAGCCUAAAACUACUCUAAAAAAUGAAGUUUAUUAAUCAAGAAAAAAAUUCUUAUGUUUUAUGAAUAUAUGGGACAGCUAUUCAUGUAUGUGGUAAAAAUGAAGAGAUUUGUUACAGUACUCGGCAGGAGUGUGUCUAAUCGACUGAUAUUCAUGUGUCACUUAUAAAAACUGGCUUCAUUAUCAAUCUAUAGAUUCAUUUCAUUUGUGUAUGUUCGCUUAAGGGCACACACAUGGAAACCCUUUGGUGUUAUUAGAGGUCUGUUGGGAGGGCUCCUCUUUGGUGGAAGCUAUGUCUGUUUCUCAGAAGUGAUUUAAGAGUAAGAUGUGAAAUAGCACUUGUCCCCGAGGAUGGAGCCAACAGAGCACAGAGCAUAGGGGAGUUAUGUGAUGCUGUCUCUGAGGGACUGGAGAGAGGAAUAUAAAGAGCUUAUCCCUUAAGAAAGAAUAGGGGAGGACUUCCUUGCCUGAUAUCUCAGAUCAUGAAGCUACAGUUCUCUCCCUGCUUUAGAGAAAAAAAAAAACAGACUUUUUGCAAAAAUCAAUUAUUGAACAUAUUCCUAUAUUCUAGAUUUAUAAUGAAGCAUUUUUGUACAUAUUCAUUAAAAAGAGCAAUUAGAACAUUUUUCUCUGGUUUAUAGUAACUAGGAUGGCAACACAUAUAUAUCUUGGAAGUAUUUUGUGGUAUGAUUCUUCAACAUAAAAUUAUUUUUCAAAACUUCUUAGAAGUCUCCAGGUACUCAGGAAUAAGGUCAUUUUAAAUUAUUCCUUAUUGACUAUAAGAAAAAUAAUUAGGCAAGAUCACAAAAUAAAUGUUUAGACUGUUUCUCCUGUUUCCUGAUUUUCAGGUUAUUUUUUAUCCCAAUUUUAUUUUGCUGUAUAGUCAUAAAUUUCAUCUUUGAAAUAAAGCAUAUAAUCACUUUUUUUGUUUGUUUUUUUGAGAUGGAGUCUCGCUCUGUAGCCCAGGCUGGAGUGCAGUGGCGCAAUCUCGGCUCACUGCAAGCUCUGCCUCCCGCGUUCACGCCAUUCUCCUGCCUCAGCCUCCUGAGUAGCUGGGACUACAGGUGCCUGCCACCACGAUCGGCUAAUUUUUUUGUAUUUUUUGUAGAAACGAGGUUUCACCAUGUUAGCCAGGAUGGUCUGGAUCUCCUGACCUUGUGAUCUGCCCACCUCGGCCUCCCAAAGUGCUGGGA